Molecule: microRNA precursor, 395 nt
Filed under: Gossypium raimondii (Peruvian cotton)
Lineage: Eukaryota; Viridiplantae; Streptophyta; Magnoliopsida; Malvales; Malvaceae
Description: miR8782 stem-loop (gra-MIR8782)
Source: miRBase by way of RNAcentral
UAUUUUCUUUUUAUUCCCCUUCAACACCAAAAAUAGAGAGGCCUCUUACCAAUUAGUCCAAAAAGUUUUUUCUACUAAAAAGUAUUUUUGUAAAAUAGCCGAUUCCAAUUGAAAAUAAAUUUUAUUUAUUUUUCAAAAAAAAAAAUUUGUCGUUCAAAUUAUGUCUAACAUAGCAGUUAAUGAUAUUCAUAGUAGUUUUCUUUUGCUCACAUUAUAUUUGGAAACAAUAAAUUUAACUAAAAAUUAUAAUUUAUACAUAAUAAAAUUUUUCUAGAGCUUUUAUAUUUAUAAUUUUAUACCAUGUACGUAAAUCAAAUUAAUAAUAAAAUUAUAAUUAUAAAAGUUUUAGAAAAACCUUUCUAUUUUUGGUGUUGAAGGGGAAUAAAAGGAAAUAA